This 403-nucleotide ribosomal RNA is filed under the name bacterium. RNAcentral describes it as "partial 16S ribosomal RNA". It matches the Rfam family "Bacterial small subunit ribosomal RNA", at positions 355 to 776 of the family's 1533-position model. The record is from RNAcentral.
UGGGGAAUAUUGCACAAUGGGGGAAACCCUGAUGCAGCGACGCCGCGUGAACGAAGAAGGUAUUCGUAUCGUAAAGUUCUGUCCUAUGGGAAGAUAAUGACAGUACCAUAGAAGAAAGCUCCGGCUAAAUACGUGCCAGCAGCCGCGGUAAUACGUAUGGAGCGAGCGUUGUCCGGAAUUAUUGGGCGUAAAGGGUACGCAGGCAGUUUAAUAAGUCGAAUGUUAAAGAUCGGGGCUCAACCCCGCAAAGCAUUGGAAACUGAUAAACUUGAGUAGUGGAGAGGAAAGUGGAAGUCCUAGUGUAGUGGAGAAAUACGUAGAUAUUAGGAGGAAUACCAGUAGCGAAGGCGACUUUCUGGACACAAACUGACGCUGAGGUACGAAAGCGUGGGGAGCAAACAGG